This 100-nucleotide non-coding RNA is filed under the name Terribacillus aidingensis. Its description in RNAcentral is "TPP sequence". It matches the Rfam family "TPP riboswitch aptamer (THI element)". From Rfam's summary of the family: Vitamin B(1) in its active form thiamin pyrophosphate (TPP) is an essential coenzyme that is synthesised by coupling of pyrimidine and thiazole moieties in bacteria. The previously detected thiamin-regulatory element, thi box was extended, resulting in a new, highly conserved RNA secondary structure, the THI element, which is widely distributed in eubacteria and also occurs in some archaea. Analysis of operon structures identified a large number of new candidate thiamin-regulated genes, mostly transporters, in various prokaryotic organisms. The record is from Rfam by way of RNAcentral. Lineage: Bacteria; Bacillati; Bacillota; Bacilli; Caryophanales; Bacillaceae.
AAAGCCUGCAGGGGGAGCCAUUUUGGCUGAGAUGGACGUAUGUCCAGACCCUUUGAACCUGUGAGUUAGCACUCGCGUAGGGAUGUAGCUUCUUUGAUGG